GAUGAACGCUGGCGGCGUGCCUAAUACAUGCAAGUCGAGCGAACGGACGAGAAGCUUGCUUUUCUGAUGUUAGCGGCGGACGGGUGAGUAACACGUGGAUAACCUACCUAUAAGACUGGGAUAACUUCGGGAAACCGGAGCUAAUACCGGAUAAUAUUUUGAACCGCAUGGUUCAAAAGUGAAAGACGGUCUUGCUGUCACUUAUAGAUGGAUCCGCGCUGCAUUAGCUAGUUGGUAAGGUAACGGCUUACCAAGGCAACGAUGCAUAGCCGACCUGAGAGGGUGAUCGGCCACACUGGAACUGAGACACGGUCCAGACUCCUACGGGAGGCAGCAGUAGGGAAUCUUCCGCAAUGGGCGAAAGCCUGACGGAGCAACGCCGCGUGAGUGAUGAAGGUCUUCGGAUCGUAAAACUCUGUUAUUAGGGAAGAACAUAUGUGUAAGUAACUGUGCACAUCUUGACGGUACCUAAUCAGAAAGCCACGGCUAACUACGUGCCAGCAGCCGCGGUAAUACGUAGGUGGCAAGCGUUAUCCGGAAUUAUUGGGCGUAAAGCGCGCGUAGGCGGUUUUUUAAGUCUGAUGUGAAAGCCCACGGCUCAACCGUGGAGGGUCAUUGGAAACUGGAAAACUUGAGUGCAGAAGAGGAAAGUGGAAUUCCAUGUGUAGCGGUGAAAUGCGCAGAGAUGUGGAGGAACACCAGUGGCGAAGGCGACUUUCUGGUCUGUAACUGACGCUGAUGUGCGAAAGCGUGGGGAUCAAACAGGAUUAGAUACCCUGGUAGUCCACGCCGUAAACGAUGAGUGCUAAGUGUUAGGGGGUUUCCGCCCCUUAGUGCUGCAGCUAACGCAUUAAGCACUCCGCCUGGGGAGUACGACCGCAAGGUUGAAACUCAAAGGAAUUGACGGGGGCCCGCACAAGCGGUGGAGCAUGUGGUUUAAUUCGAAGCAACGCGAAGAACCUUACCAAAUCUUGACAUCCUUUGACAACUCUAGAGAUAGAGCCUUCCCCUUCGGGGGACAAAGUGACAGGUGGUGCAUGGUUGUCGUCAGCUCGUGUCGUGAGAUGUUGGGUUAAGUCCCGCAACGAGCGCAACCCUUAAGCUUAGUUGCCAUCAUUAAGUUGGGCACUCUAAGUUGACUGCCGGUGACAAACCGGAGGAAGGUGGGAUGACGUCAAAUCAUCAUGCCCCUUAUGAUUUGGGCUACACACGUGCUACAAUGGACAAUACAAAGGGCAGCGAAACCGCGAGGUCAAGCAAAUCCCAUAAAGUUGUUCUCAGUUCGGAUUGUAGUCUGCAACUCGACUACAUGAAGCUGGAAUCGCUAGUAAUCGUAGAUCAGCAUGCUACGGUGAAUACGUUCCCGGGUCU
RNAcentral lists this ribosomal RNA (1371 nucleotides) under uncultured bacterium. RNAcentral's name for it is "16S ribosomal RNA". It matches the Rfam family "Bacterial small subunit ribosomal RNA", at positions 28 to 1381 of the family's 1533-position model. The record is from RNAcentral.